GAUGAAGAACGUAGCAAAAUGCGAUAAGUAAUGUGAAUUGCAGAAUUCAGUGAAUCAUCGAAUCUUUGAACGCACAUUGCGCCCGCUGGUAUUCCGGCGGGCAUGCCUGUUCGAGCGUCAUUUCAACCCUCAAGCCCCCGGGUUUGGUGUUGGGGAUCGGCUCUGCCUUCUGGGCGGUGCCGCCCCCGAAAUACAUUGGCGGUCUCGCUGCAGCCUCCAUUGCGUAGUAGCUAACACCUCGCAACUGGAACGCGGCGCGGCCAUGCCGUAAAACCCCAACUUCUGAAUGUUGACCUCGGAUCAGGUAGGAAUACCCGCUGAACUUAAGCAUAUCAAUAAGCGGAGGA
This 347-nucleotide unclassified non-coding RNA is filed under the name soil metagenome. RNAcentral describes it as "partial contains 5.8S ribosomal RNA, internal transcribed spacer 2, and large subunit ribosomal RNA". The stretch from base 1 to 120 matches the Rfam family "5.8S ribosomal RNA", at positions 35 to 154 of the family's 154-position model. The record is from RNAcentral.